GUAGGAUAAAAAUAAAUUGUAUUAGUUAAAAGUUGGAUGAGAUGAAGUUAGGAGAAUAAUUGAUUUUAUAGGUAAAAUUUGUAAAAUUAAAUAUUUCUUAGAAUGGGAAGUUGAAGCUUUGAAAAUUGAAGUUAAAACUAGGAUUAGAUACCCUAUUAUUUUAAUUGUAAAAGAAAGAGGCUUGAGUAGUAUUAGUUAAGUACUUGAAACUCAAAGAAUUUGGCGGUGUCUUAAUCUUUUCAGAGGAAUCUGUCCUAUAAUCGAUAUUACACGUUAAAUGUUACUUAAUUUGGUAUAGUCAAUUUGUAUACCGCCGUCAUAAGAUCAUCUUUUUAGAGAAAGAAUUUUCUUAAUAUUAUAAGAUAGUAUGUCAGGUCAAGGUGCAGUUUAUAAUUAAGUAGGAGAUGGAUUACAAUAAAUCUAUUUAAAUGGAUUUUCUAUUGAAAAAUAGGAAUGAAGGUGGAUUUGAAGGUAAUUUUGUUAAAUUAUGAUAAAAUGAUUGAAGCUCUAGGACAUGUACACAUCGCCCGUCGCUCUCGUUAUUAAGAUGAGAUAAGUCGUAACAUAGUAGUCGUACUGGAAAGUGUGGCUAGAAAGUCAA
This 601-nucleotide ribosomal RNA is filed under the name Poecilimon richteri. Its description in RNAcentral is "partial 12S ribosomal RNA". The stretch from base 184 to 592 matches the Rfam family "Microsporidia small subunit ribosomal RNA", at positions 752 to 1303 of the family's 1311-position model. The record is from RNAcentral. Lineage: Eukaryota; Metazoa; Arthropoda; Insecta; Orthoptera; Tettigoniidae.